AUUGAACGCUGGCGGCAUGCCUUACACAUGCAAGUCGAACGGCAGCACGGGAGCAAUCCUGGUGGCGAGUGGCGAACGGGUGAGUAAUAUAUCGGAACGUGCCCAGUCGUGGGGGAUAACGUAGCGAAAGCUACGCUAAUACCGCAUACGAUCUAUGGAUGAAAGCGGGGGAUCGCAAGACCUCGCGCGAUUGGAGCGGCCGAUAUCAGAUUAGGUAGUUGGUGAGGUAAAGGCUCGCCAAGCCGACGAUCUGUAGCUGGUCUGAGAGGACGACCAGCCACACUGGGACUGAGACACGGCCCAGACUCCUACGGGAGGCAGCAGUGGGGAAUUUUGGACAAUGGGCGCAAGCCUGAUCCAGCAAUGCCGCGUGCAGG
Molecule: ribosomal RNA, 377 nt
Filed under: uncultured bacterium
Lineage: Bacteria
Description: bacterial SSU rRNA
Rfam family: Bacterial small subunit ribosomal RNA
Source: RNAcentral